This 301-nucleotide ribosomal RNA is filed under the name uncultured bacterium. Its description in RNAcentral is "partial 16S ribosomal RNA". It matches the Rfam family "Bacterial small subunit ribosomal RNA", at positions 509 to 809 of the family's 1533-position model. The record is from RNAcentral.
CAGUCGCCGCGGGAAUACGUAGGGUGCAAGCGUUAAUCGGAAUUACUGGGCGUAAAGCGUGCGCAGGCGGUUAUAUAAGACAGAUGUGAAAUCCCCGGGCUCAACCUGGGAACUGCAUUUGUGACUGUAUAGCUAGAGUACGGCAGAGGGGGAUGGAAUUCCGCGUGUAGCAGUGAAAUGCGUAGAUAUGCGGAGGAACACCGAUGGCGAAGGCAAUCCCCUGGGCCUGUACUGACGCUCAUGCACGAAAGCGUGGGGAGCAAACAGGAUUAGAUACCCGGGUAGUCCCUGUCUCUUAUAU